UACAGAGGGGGCGAAGCGUUAUUCGGAAUUAUUGGGCGUAAAGGGCGCGUAGGCGGCCACGCAAGUCAGGGGUGAAAUCCCUCGGCUCAACCGAGGAAUGGCCUCUGAAACUGCAUGGCUUGAGACCGGGAGAGGGUGGUGGAAUUCCCAGUGUAGCGGUGAAAUGCGUAGAUAUUGGGAGGAACACCGGUGGCGAAGGCGGCCACCUGGACCGGUUCUGACGCUGAUGCGCG
This 233-nucleotide ribosomal RNA is filed under the name uncultured bacterium. Its description in RNAcentral is "partial 16S ribosomal RNA". It matches the Rfam family "Bacterial small subunit ribosomal RNA", at positions 524 to 755 of the family's 1533-position model. The record is from RNAcentral.